Ipomoea nil (Japanese morning glory) is the source of this 1794-nucleotide RNA transcript. RefSeq lists it as uncharacterized. The record is from RefSeq and is a predicted model, not a curated record. The transcript is spliced from 4 exons. Lineage: Eukaryota; Viridiplantae; Streptophyta; Magnoliopsida; Solanales; Convolvulaceae.
UUCUUCCUCCCUUCUCGCUUUGCCAUUUCACUCAACAUCUCGCUAUCCCUAUUCUAAAACUUCAUCACAAAACUUCAUUACAGAUUCGGCAUCCAAUUUAUAUUCCAUGUCAUUGGAGCUGAAAUUGUUCAUUUCAACAUUCCUUGCAUACUUCCGAUCUUCGAUCUAGUCGAUCAUAUGGUUCAUCGGGUAUGGACGGACCCGACCCGUAUCUUGGCGGGACGCCCUCCAGGUCUGCAGCAAUGACGAUAACUUCCACGAAUUAAAAAGGAAACAUGAGGGGAGAAAAGAGGUAUAUUAUUUUAUGCUAUUAGAACAUUAGCAACCAUCUGUUCCAGGAGCAAAUAUCUAUGCUUAACAUACCAAUACAGAAAUUUCUUAGACCUAGACCAGGUCCAUCUAGAAAUUUAUGGAACUUUUGCAAAUAUGCAACUGGAAUGCCAUGUACUAUUCCCUUCCUAUCUUUCUCACCCAACUAUGGUAAUAUGUGGUGUUUGAACUCGACGCUUCAUGUUAGCAAUUGAAAACACGAUAAAAUAUUAUAAGAACGCAAGUUCACUUGAACUCUUCAAGUACCUUAUUCAUCACCCCACUUACUGCUUGAUUUCCCUCAAGAUGAAAAUUAAAUAAACCUUUGUUCUAUCUGUUUAUUCUGUACAAUAAACAGUUUAAUAUAUAUAUAUAUAUAUAUAUAUAUAUAUAUAUAUAUAUAUAUAUAUAUAUUGUAGUUCUAUCUUUUUAUUUUUAUAUUUUGUAGGUCUACAUAUUGUAGUUCUGCUUACCGUACCAAUUUUGUAAUUUCAAUUUAUGGAAUGUGGAUUAAUUUUCUCAAUAAAAUCUAAUGACCUGCUGCAUUUAUUUACUACGUAUUAAAUAUUGUAAUUAUUUACCUACAUGCCAUGAGAUAAUUUGAAUCACUGCAAAUCUAAAUUUUAAUAAAUGCAGGCUGCAUUGUACUGGUAACAGUGGUAAGAAAGUACAUAUUUUCCAGAUCUAAUCAUAAUAAUCUUCAAUGAAAAACAUUUAACAACUGGCUAUAAUCUUACCACACCUUAUUAUUUUUGUUAGGGUUUAUAUCUUUGUUCCUGCACACAAUCUUCAGAAGCAGCAAAGAAAGCAAAGGUUGCAGAAACAAAAAACUUACCUGAGUUGUCCAGCUCCUUAGAUCCCAGAAAUAUUCAUCUUCAACAGACUGUAUGGUCUGCAAAAAUAUACCAGAGCCUAUAAUCAUUCCCCUGUAACAGAAGAUGCAAUGGGUUCUCAACUUUUGUCAUAUCAUUAUUUUAUAUUAUACAUGAUGAUGGUAUCAACCUAUGAAAAAAGAGAGUUUCCUUUUACAUUCACCAUUGCACUCAAAUACUGUAGAAGGUGGUUUCUUGGCUCCAUUAUGCCCACCUCUUUCCAUGAUUCUUGUCUUUUGUAUUUUGCAGGCAAGUUGUUGGAGCCUCUCUACAUUCUACCGUCUUGUGCCUGGCCGCCAUGAAAAUUCAAGAAUGGUUCUUCUCUGCAACUUUGACUCAUUUUUUCUGAUGAUGAAGUCACAAUGGCGUCUAUAUUGCGAACUAUGAGCGCUUAUUUAUAGUGUCGUCUAUGAUUAUAGAUUAUAGAAGUUUAUGUACAUUUAAUGUUAGUCUUGAAGAUUGCACAAGUCAUUUCAGAUUUAAAUUCAUCUUGUAUUUAUACUUGUAUUGAUAUUGAUGUCUUGUAAUUAUUAUUUAAGUAUACGAAGAGGCAAGAUGAAUAUCCUCUUGAAUGUAGCAAAAAAUUAUGAUAUGCAUAUAACCUUUCAAAUUU